Molecule: ribosomal RNA, 369 nt
Filed under: Triticum aestivum (bread wheat)
Lineage: Eukaryota; Viridiplantae; Streptophyta; Magnoliopsida; Poales; Poaceae
Description: partial small subunit ribosomal RNA
Source: RNAcentral
AUGGACGGCCCGGCGAGGCCACUCUCAAGCGCGGUGCUCGCGCCCGCAGUACCCAUCGGCGUCGAGCGGCGACCGCUCUUCUGGUGCGGCGCCCUACAGCAGGCGGCGCUCGGCGCAGCAACCACCGGCCGAGUAUCCUCUCAGGCGACACAGCGACCGCGGCGGUCUCCGGCGCACCGGUUACUCCCAGCAGCGCGUCGGAGAUGUCUCCCGGCCCGGACAGGAUGGCAGCAAACGCGACGUGUUCCGGAGAUGCGGCGGUGGCCAUCGACCGGCGCGCGGCAGCACGGUCCUCGGCCUGGGCGGAGGCAGCCCACGAGGCACAAGACGCGGCGGCGCAACCACCGGUCUGCCCGCAGCCUCGCAUGA